Homarus americanus (American lobster) is the source of this 483-nucleotide long non-coding RNA. RefSeq lists it as uncharacterized. The transcript has 2 exons. Lineage: Eukaryota; Metazoa; Arthropoda; Malacostraca; Decapoda; Nephropidae. The record is from RefSeq and is a predicted model, not a curated record.
CCUGCAGGCGAGGCUGCUGGUGGUGUUGGUGUUGUUGGCGGUGGUCAGGCCAGGGGAGGCAGCCAGUUUUACCACCCGCGGCCCAGGCUCACACUCGGCCACCACCCCACCUCGAGUAUAUUAUCAGAACAAGUGUUAAGUGCACACCCGGGCCAGAGGUGGUGAAUAUGUAGAAAGUUACAAGUUGUACAGUGCGGGAACUACCUGGUGAUUGUGAACAGGUUAAGAUAGAGAAUUAUUAAUGACUUAAGUGCAUAUGGUGCCAAUGUAUUAAAACUUAUCACCGAGGAAGGGAUGGUGAGGUGGAAGACCGACGAAGGAUUUGAUACACCUCGACUUAACGUGACUCCCACAGGUGUGAAUGAUCACCUGUACACACCUGGAUAAUACUUUUCAACUGUACUUUGAAAGUUUUUAUACUUUCCAAUUGUAACUGAGAUCUGGAAAAGUUUAUGAACUAGAGACUGAAAGUUUUAUGAUCUA